This 65-nucleotide transfer RNA is filed under the name human gut metagenome. It matches the Rfam family "tRNA". Rfam says of the family: Transfer RNA (tRNA) molecules are approximately 80 nucleotides in length. The record is from RNAcentral.
GACAUAGCUCAGCGGUAGAGUAGGUGGCUGUUAACCACUUGGUCGCUGGUUCGAAUCCAGCUGUC